This 126-nucleotide small nucleolar RNA is filed under the name Jaculus jaculus (lesser Egyptian jerboa). Its description in RNAcentral is "Small nucleolar RNA SNORA1 (ENSJJAG00000005166.1)". It matches the Rfam family "Small nucleolar RNA SNORA1". Rfam says of the family: ACA1 is a member of the H/ACA class of snoRNA that guide the sites of modification of uridines to pseudouridines. The record is from Rfam by way of RNAcentral. Lineage: Eukaryota; Metazoa; Chordata; Mammalia; Rodentia; Dipodidae.
GAUCUCAUGAAAAUGGACACUGUUGGUCAAUGUCCAGAAUUGCUCAGUGUGGCUAAAUUGAAACACAGGUCAUGCUUCCAUCACAGUAAAUGUAUUGUAGUGGUGACAAUGAGACAUGUAACAUUG